CCUACGGGUGGCUGCAGUGGGGAAUAUUGGACAAUGGGCGAAAGCCUGAUCCAGCCAUGCCGCGUGUGUGAAGAAGGCCUUCGGGUUGUAAAGCACUUUCAGUGGGGAAGAAAGCCUUGGGGCUAAUACCCUCGAGGAAGGACAUCACCCACAGAAGAAGCACCGGCUAACUCCGUGCCAGCAGCCGCGGUAAUACGGAGGGUGCGAGCGUUAAUCGGAAUUACUGGGCGUAAAGCGCGCGUAGGCGGUCUGAUAAGCCGGUUGUGAAAGCCCCGGGCUCAAACUGGGAACGGCAUCCGGAGCUGUCAGGCGAGAGUGCAGGAGAGGAAGGAAGAAUUCCCGGUGCAGCGGUGAAAUGCGUAGAGAACGGGAGGAAUGCCAGGGGAGAGGGGGGCCUUCAGGACUGACACGGACGCUGAGGUGCGAAAUCGUGGGUAGCAAACAGGAUUAGAUACCCGGGUAGAC
RNAcentral lists this ribosomal RNA (465 nucleotides) under Vreelandella stevensii. RNAcentral's name for it is "partial 16S ribosomal RNA". It matches the Rfam family "Bacterial small subunit ribosomal RNA", at positions 338 to 795 of the family's 1533-position model. The record is from RNAcentral. Lineage: Bacteria; Pseudomonadati; Pseudomonadota; Gammaproteobacteria; Oceanospirillales; Halomonadaceae.